CCUACGGGGGCAGCAGUGAGGAAUAUUGGUCAAUGGACGAGAGUCUGAACCAGCCAAGUAGCGUGAAGGAUGACUGCCCUAUGGGUUGUAAACUUCUUUUAUAUGGGAAUAAAAUGUUCCACGUGUGGGAUUUUGUAUGUACCAUAUGAAUAAGGAUCGGCUAACUCCGUGCCAGCAGCCGCGGUAAUACGGAGGAUCCGAGCGUUAUCCGGAUUGAUUGGGGUUAAAGGGGGCGUAGGUGGAUUGUUAAGUCAGUUGUGAAAGUUGUCGGUUCAACCGUCAAAUUGCAGUUGAAACUGGCAGUCUUGAGUACAGUAGAGGUGGGCGGAAUUCGUGGUGUAGCGGUGAAAUGCUUAGAUAUCACGAAGAACUCCGAUUGCGAAGGCAGUUCACUGGACUGCAACUGACACUGAGGCUCGAAAGUGUGGGUAUCAAACAGGAUUAGAUACCCUAGUAGUC
Molecule: ribosomal RNA, 459 nt
Filed under: uncultured bacterium
Lineage: Bacteria
Description: partial 16S ribosomal RNA
Rfam family: Bacterial small subunit ribosomal RNA
Source: RNAcentral